CCAUAUCUGAACUUAGUUCUAUUCCUGGGUGCGACUCAAUCAAUUUCAGCUCGGGGAUAUAUAUGAUAACUUGAGAUCAAACUAAACAAUUUGGAGGUUUGCCUAUCUUGCUUAUGUCUAGUAUACUUCGUUUGUUUUCCCUUAGGAUGCUUAAUUUGGUUAUCUUGUGCAGAUAAAACUAAUGGUGCUUCACAAUUCUCAACAAAUCCCUGUUCUAGAGAAUGUCUGUACCUCUGCUACCUAUGCAUUUUGCAUCAUUCCUGAUGAUUCAAUAAUUAAACAAUUGGGGGUAACUAAAUUAAAUCUUUGUUCAUUUUUCUUUUUUGUUACAGCAAUAAUGAGGAAAUUUAUACUCUUGGUACUAAUUACCUAAGCAAAUAAUUCUUUUAUCCCCUAAAUCCUUUUUCGAAGAAAGAAGGUGACCCACUAUAUUAGCAAUGAUCAUAGAAAAAAUAGAAUAAUUAAAGGAUUUCCUAUAUAUCAAUUAUCUUCAGAUGUUUAUGUGAAAGAAGAGAAUGUUAUAUUUCUACUGAAUAAUAUAUCCUAUUCAUAUACAACUUUUAGAACAAAAAAAGAAUUCCUAAUUUAAUUACACAUCUGUUUAGGAGGCUAUAAUAUAAAUAUAAAAUGAGACAAAUAUCUAGACUUAAUAAUACUUUUCAGCAUUCCCUCAAAUUGGUGAAUAGACAUUGUUCAUUCACAGCUUACUAAUGAUUGUCUUAGAUGUGGGAUUGUUCAGAUCCUUGGUGAGUACGUACAUAAGUUGAGAGUCACUGGACAUAGAGGGCAUGCAGAUCAAAUCACUAACUUUUUUUUGAUAAAGUGUUUGUCCAAUUCAGUAUGUUUGGUCUUAUCAUCUUGUACUCGAUUGUUUACAGUAUAAUCACCGAUUUGUUGUUACAGUAAAGUCUCGGCGAGCUAUUUCACUUAAUUUUUGUAUUUUCUGAGAUAAUUUCAACUAUAAUAACUUGUAGACUCCUUGUGCCAUUGUCUCGAUAUUUUGAUUCUGCACUUGACCGGUCUACCAUAUUAUGUUUCUUGCUUAUCAUACAAUAAGAUUUUCCUGAAAGCAAGUGCAAUAAGCCAUGGUUGAUCUUUCUAUGGAUUACUAACCGGACAUUUUUAGCAUCAGGAUAUGCUUCUAGUCUAAGUUCAAUACUCUGUUUGAUUAAGAUGCUUAUCCGUGGAAUGCUUUUAAGAUAAUGCAAUACACUGUAAGUUGCUUUUAGGUGAAUUUCUUUCGGAUUGUGCAUAAACUAACUUAUUGUACUUACUGCACAAUGUCUGUCCUUGUUGAUAGUAAUAUCUUCUUCUGCCAAUCCUAGCUUCUUGUUGGGAUCUAUUGAUGUGCUAACAAGUUUGCAUGCCAGCUUGCCUAUAUCCUUCAGAAAGGCGUUAAUGUACUUUUGUUAAGAGAGAGAUUCUUUGCUUUGUGUGGGCCACCUCAAUUUGGAGGAAAUACUUCAGUUUGCCUAUUCUUGUCACAAUGAUGUUAUAAACAUAUACAAAUAGAGUUAUGACUUUUUUAACUAUUGCAAAUCAGGCUAUUGGUGAAUGUUUCAAUUCACAUAAUGCUCUUUUAAGUAUGUAUACCUUAUUGAAUAUUAUAUAUUCUGUGAACUUCAAUAGAAUUUUAUAUAUAUUUUCUCUUGAAAAUUCCAUAUAAAAAGUCAUUUUUCACAUUAAAUUGUUAAAUCUGCAAGUUAUAGUUAGCAGUUAAGGACAGAAGUACUUGGACUACUUCCAUCUUGGCAAUGGAUGCAAAAAAUCUCUUGAUAGUCUAUAUCAUAGAUGUGUAUGUACUCCUCCACCACUAGUGUUAAUUUAUACCUUUUCAUAAUACUGUUAUUGCUUUAGACUUGUAUUGAACAUUUACUCAUAUCUCCCUUGUUUUUUCCUUUUAUUAGGUCCAAUACUUCUCAGGUUCAGUUGUUUUUCACUAUCUGAAUUUUGACAUUUAUAACAAGUUUUUAUUUUUCACAGGACAAUACAGCAGGUAAUAUAGUAG
This 2008-nucleotide long non-coding RNA is filed under the name Carica papaya (papaya). Its description in RNAcentral is "long non-coding RNA (CPAP_LNC014565)". The record is from RNAcentral. Lineage: Eukaryota; Viridiplantae; Streptophyta; Magnoliopsida; Brassicales; Caricaceae.